Molecule: non-coding RNA, 1168 nt
Organism: Styela clava
Lineage: Eukaryota; Metazoa; Chordata; Ascidiacea; Stolidobranchia; Styelidae
Source: RefSeq, a predicted model, not a curated record
GCAAGCUACAUAUACAGAAUAAAAUAAAAGAAGAAUAGCAUUUCGGGGUGGAGGGAAACGCUGAAAAACCAGUACUGGUUAUCGAGCAGCGACACCCUAGAUGGGGUCUAACACAGCAUGACGAAAUAACAUGAAAUAGAAAGCUUAAAAUGAAUAUGAAUGAAAAAGCAAAAUAAUCACACUAAAUAAAAUUGUAUAUUGGAAACGUUCAAGUAUCCACGGCAACUGCUCAGCUGAAGCACUGGCUGCGGGCGAGUGUACAGUUAACGUCAAACCUGAUAGCCGGAAGGAUGUCGGUAUUGCAGUAGGAAAUUAAAGAUUCUAUUCAAUGGAUUGGACAAUAAAUAACAGGUAUUAAAGACCCAACAGCUUGAAGUGUGGUCAAAUGUUGAGCUGACAAUAGUAAGAAAACAAGACUCAGACAUGAUAUCAACUGGAAGAUGUGGCGGCACCGGAUUGUGUUUGUGUUGGUUUGAAGAGUUAUCAAAUUCUUCGCGCUAUUGAGGAGGCAAGCAUCGUCAGCGAAAAGUUUGCUUAAAAGAUUUGAUGAGUUCGAUAAAUCAUUUAUGUAUAAUAAAAAUUUAAGAGCACCCAACACAGAACCUUGAACAACUCAUGGGCAACAUUGGAGACUUAUGAGAAUCCACCUCCACAAAUUGAUAUCUACCAAGCAGGUAAUCACAUAGUAGAUUACCGGCUGUACCUCGAAAACCGUAAUGCUUUAGCUUUUGGAUAAGAAUGUUGUGGUCAACGGUGUCAAACGCUUUCUUUAGAUCUAAGAAGGUACAACAGACAAGCUCACCUUUAUCAAUUUUAUCGUAAAUAUACGAGGUUAGGUCUACAAUAGCAUGGCUGGUAGAAUGACUCGUUUGGAAUCCAAAUUGACAUUUGUUGAUAAGAUUAAAUUUAGAGCAAUAAUUCAGCAUUCUUUCUUUUAUUAUUUUUUCUAGAACAAUGCCUAUGGUGGGGAGGAUGGAAAUUGGCCGAUAAUUGGACGGGUUAUUUUUGUUGCCAUUUUUGAAAAUUGGAAUUACCCUAGCUAUUUUUAAUGAGGAAGGGAAAAUGCCUAAACUAAAUGAUAAAUUGAAGAAAUGACUUAGAGCUGGAGAUACAAUAUCAGCGAUUAUUUUAAGAAAAUAGGUUGGAAUACCAUCUGGACCAACUGCUU